Molecule: long non-coding RNA, 3428 nt
Filed under: Sus scrofa (pig)
Lineage: Eukaryota; Metazoa; Chordata; Mammalia; Artiodactyla; Suidae
Description: lncRNA (ENSSSCG00015042223.1)
Source: RNAcentral
UUUUUUUUUUUUCUUUUCUCAUUUUUUCUUUUUAGGGCAGCAUCUACAGCAUAUGGAGAUUCCCAGGCUAGGGGGUUAAUCAGAGCUACAGCUGCUGGCCUACACCACAGCCACAGCAACACAGGAUCUGAGCCACAUCUGCAACCCACACCACAGCUCAUGGCAAAGCUGAAUCCUUAAUCCACUGAGCAAGGCCAGGAUCGAACCCGUGUCCUCAUGGAUACUAGUCUGAUUCAUUAACCACUGAGCCACAACAGGAACUCCCUCUUUUUUCUUUUUUUUUUUGGCCCACACCCUUGGCAUAUGGAAGUUCCUGGGCCAAGGAUCAAGUUCUAGCCACGGCUGCAAGCUCCGCAGCUGCAGUUACAUAGGUGCAGCUAUGGCAAUGCUAGAUCCUUAACCCAUUGGCCCACAGUGGGAACUCUGCAAAUAUUCCAAUUCUUAAGUUCAUCAGUUAUCCAAUUUGUGCCAUCUAUUUCUGUCUGGGAUCUUGACUGAUAGUUACUAUACUAAAAAAAAAAGGGAAUGUUUCCACCUAUUUGAAUUUCCUAGAAUAGUUAAAUUCAUAGAGACAGGAAGUAGAGUGGUGGUUACAGAGCAGCUAUAGUUGUUGUUUAAUGGUUACAGAGUUUCAGUUUGUGAAGAAUGAAAAAAUUCUGGAGGUCAUGGGUGGCGAUGGUUGCACAACAAUGUAAAUGCACUUAAUGCUGCUGAAUUGCACACUUUAAAAGGGUUAAAGUGGCAAAUUUCAUCUUACAGAUAUGUUACCACAAUAAAAAUAAAUGGGGGACAUGAAAGCUGAUUGCUUAUUAAUGCCUAAUAAAUUAGAACCAAAAUAAUAUCUUUUUUUUUUUCAUUUUUGGUAUUUGAGUGGACAGACUAUGUUGGAUCAGCCCUUGCAUUGACUGUGAACCUUUUAUUCUUGCCAAACAUUUAUAAAUUGGGAUGCUGUUGGAUUUAUUUGGGCAAACAGAUGUAUGCUGAUCACGGUCUGAAAAUAAAGAUAGUGCUGGUAUCCAGUACUGACAGGCAGAAGCUUCCUUUGGCCUUAUCCUUCGUUCAAAGCUCAGCUCAUCUCCACUUAUUUCGUGGAGCUUUCUGGAAUUGCUACAACCUACUCUGUUGCUGUUCUCCUCCCUGUCUCUGAACUCCAACUGUGCCUGCUCAGUGGAAGUCAGCCUCUUAUUUUAUUUCUGGUUCUAAUUCCAGACAAUUAUCAUGGAAACAUUCAGAGAUCCCCAAGGACAAAAGUCAUGGCCUUCCUGUCCUGUUGCCGGGACAUCUAAAUGGAUGCCGAAUGGUACCUCACACAUGCUUGGUGACUGAAUGCAAGCUUACGUACAUGGUAUUCAUGGCAUUACCCAAUUUACAUAAUGAUAAGCACCACGAAUGAGAAUGUGUUUUUUCUUGGCUCUGAUUUCUACUUGCCAGAAGACAAAUUUUCUCAAACUUAUACACAGAACAGACUUUUGACAGCAGUUUGGCAUCCUGAAGAAAAUGAUUGUCUUGGGUGCUUCAUUCCACCCUUGGCUUUCCUUUGGCUUUCCAGUCUCUGAGCCAGAAUUUUGUAGAAACAGUGAAAAUCUUCAAGGAACAGUGAACUCCACUCCAGGAAUCUCAGAGGUGGGCAGCAUCAACAGAGAUUCCGGUGCAGCAAAGAAGAGCCAUCUGCUCUGCUGGAAUUGUUCUCAGACUGUUGUUGCAUCCUCCAAAUUUUUCUUUUCCUCUGUUUUGAGUGGUAAACUACAUGGCCUAUUUAUAUCAUGAUGAUUGUGUUAAGUGUGGAUUUUUCAGUACAAGGGAAUUUCAGUACAGGGUUUAUUCGCACUAUAACAAAUGUUAGUAAACAUUGGUUCCAUUCAUGGGCUCUGCUCACAUAAUCAGAUAUUUUAGAGACUUGGCCGGGGAGUCCCAGCACCCCGGGGCUUACUCUGCUCCUGUUCCCUGAUGAAAACUUGGAAGUCCUCAAACUGAGAUGUGAAGAUGAAUUUGAACAGUAUUGUGUUUAUGUUUUAGCUCCUUCAUGUUUUCAUUCAGGUGGUUUUUUUUUGUUUGUUUGUUUUCAUUUUUGUUUUUUUGGCUGCCCUAUGACAUGUUGAAGUUCCCUGGCUGGUGAUUAAACCUGUGCCAUAUCCGUGACCUGAGCCACAGGAGUGAAAAUGUUAGAUCUUUAACCCACUGCACCAUCAGGGAACAACUUGAAAAUCUGUUUUUUUUUCUUUUUAUUGGUUUGCAUAAACUCUUUCUAUAUUAAAGAUAAUAACCUACCAUGUGUCAAAUUUACCAUAUUUCAUAUGUUUGUUGUUAGUCUCAAUUUUAUUUAAGGCAUGAAUAUAAACUUUUCACUUUUACGUAGUCAUUAUAUAUUAAUACUUGUUCUGGUUGGGUAUUUUGUUUAACUGAAUUGUCUUUUUCUGGAUUAGUACCAUGUUGAAUACUAGUGAAUUAAGUGAUCAUUUUCACGCAUUGGUUUUUUUUUCAUGAGAUACAAUUGAGGUAACUUUUCAGGAAAAGGAACUUGGCAAAAAUUUGAAGAGCUUGAAGCCUGUUCUUAUUCUUUAACUCUAUAUUUCCCUAUCAAGGUAUUUAUGUUAAGAAAAUCGUAAGAAAUGUAAAAUAUUUAUGCAUUAAAAUGUUUAUUAGUGUAUCGGUAUUAUUUAUAACGGUGAAAAAUUGGAUCCAAUCUCUAGAUAUUAGGACUUUUAAUUUAUUAUGUAGCCAUUAAAAUUUUAAUUGCAAAGACAAUUUUAAGACCCAAGAAAUGCUUAUGAUAUAAUCAGUGAUGUGCUAGUAAAUGAUGCUUACAGGCUAUCUGAAAAAAUAAAAACAAAAGAGCCCUGCUUUAUAACAUCUGCCAAUUUCUAUGGUGUAAAUUUUCUUGUUGUGGCUGAUUUCAAGCUACCAGUGUGAGGUCACUGAAUUCAGAGUUGGAAAAAGAUGCACUUUGGUUCUUGCAAACAUGUGCAAGUCAACUUCUGAUAUCAUGUUACAUCACAAAAACAGAAUGUAUAGGGUGUGUACAUGUGAUUGCAACAAUGUAAGUAAUCUACUUUAAAAAGAAUCUGGAAGAAGAUAGGUUACAUUUGGAUGUAGAAUUAUGAGGAAUCCUUUCUGCCCUGUAUUUCGUUAUUCUCUAUACUUCACAGAAUAUUGAUAGAGAGCCUAAAGAAUUAUUGUAAUCAGGAAAAAAAACCAAAAAACAAAUUGGUGCUGUCCUGUUCCCUCUUCCCCCACCCACUCCUCAUCACAGAGCCUGGCUUCUUUUGCCACUGCAUUGAGUCCAGUGACAGCACCAUGCUGGGGUCUUUCAGGGCUCAAUCUUGAAGUAUUGCUUGAUCUCUUUUUUUUUUCUUUGCUUUUUAGGGCUGCACACGUGGCAUAUUGAAGUUCCUGGGCUAGGGGUUGAAUCAGAGCUACAGCUGCUGGCC